Long non-coding RNA from Ochotona curzoniae (black-lipped pika), 707 nucleotides. RefSeq lists it as uncharacterized. The record is from RefSeq and is a predicted model, not a curated record. The transcript has 3 exons. NCBI's taxonomy places the organism in Eukaryota, Metazoa, Chordata, Mammalia, Lagomorpha, Ochotonidae.
AUUUAUGCGUUUGUAAGUACAGUUAUUAUGUUUCCAUCUGGGAUUGUGACUGUUAAAAUGAUUUUUAAAAUGUUCAUUGCUCAAACAGGAAUUAAUGGGCAGAUACAUUUGCAUGAUGAGAUUUUAAUAAUUAGGCUGAUUGGCUAUUGAAUCAACUGUUCCAAAAUGAAAUAUAUUUGAAGCCAUUCUGAACAUUUAAAAUGGGACAGCAAUAGACAAGUUGCCAAAACGACUCUCUGAAGUGGCCUCAGAACUGCAAAUGAAGAUGACACAGACAGUGUUCAUGACAGAUGUAAAUCAAACACUUGGUGCUAUGAUAUCCUACCCUAACCCCGCCGGAAAAAAAAAAAAAAAGGAAGAAAUUUUGUAUUAAAGAUUUACUCUGAAAGACUAAAGAAAAUCUGAUCCAUUGGUGUGCUGGUGUGCUUACCAAACUUAGCUGCUCAGUCACCUGGCAAGAGACUGUCUGGAGAAAAUGUUAGUAGCCAGCAGCCACACCCUGGAGAAUUUGCAAGAAGCAGGUUGCUUCAGGAUAUUCUAGAAGGAUAUUUGCUUCAAGAGAAAACGGCUGCAGAAGCACAACAGCAACAAUUCUAAAACCUGAACAUGCAUCAGAAUGACCUAGACUCCAUUUAAAAACAAAGACAGCCUGGACCCACACUCAGAAUUCCUGUUUCUGUGGAUCAGGGAUGGAGCCUGACUCUGCG